This is an RNA transcript of Camelina sativa (false flax), 225 nucleotides long. It is a transcript of the gene named putative F-box/FBD/LRR-repeat protein At1g22000 pseudogene, with no coding region annotated. NCBI's taxonomy places the organism in Eukaryota, Viridiplantae, Streptophyta, Magnoliopsida, Brassicales, Brassicaceae. The record is from RefSeq and is a predicted model, not a curated record.
CGGCUCAUAGAUUUAAUCUUUGUUACAAACAAGCCAGUACAUUGGUUGGAACCUCUUAUUUUUAUGCUUCAAAACUCCCCUAAACUGAAAAUUCUUACGAUCGACACCCAUGGUUCUCCCACAUGUUCGUGGAACCAGCCCAGUACUAUUCCCCAAUGCUUAUCGUCUCAUCUAGAGAUUGUUAGGUGGAAAAGAUAUCAAGGAAAAGAAGAAGAUGAGAAACAA